UUUGCGACCGAAUCCAAGCCUGA
This 23-nucleotide microRNA is filed under the name Strongyloides ratti. RNAcentral's name for it is "str-miR-7880c-3p". Lineage: Eukaryota; Metazoa; Nematoda; Chromadorea; Rhabditida; Strongyloididae. The record is from miRBase by way of RNAcentral.